RNAcentral lists this ribosomal RNA (601 nucleotides) under Vishniacozyma carnescens. Its description in RNAcentral is "partial large subunit ribosomal RNA". It matches the Rfam family "Eukaryotic large subunit ribosomal RNA", at positions 38 to 630 of the family's 3401-position model. The record is from RNAcentral. Lineage: Eukaryota; Fungi; Basidiomycota; Tremellomycetes; Tremellales; Bulleribasidiaceae.
GCAUAUCAAUAAGCGGAGGAAAAGAAACUAACUAGGAUUCCCUUAGUAACGGCGAGUGAACCGGGAUGAGCUCAAAUUUGAAAUCUGGCGUCUUUCAGGCGUCCGAGUUGUAAUCUAUAGAGGCGUUUUCCGCGCCGGACCGCGUCCAAGUCUCUUGGAAUAGAGUAUCAAAGAGGGUGACAAUCCCGUACUUGACGCGACAACCGGUGCUCUGUGAUACGUUCUCAAUGAGUCGAGUUGUUUGGGAAUGCAGCUCUAAAUGGGUGGUAAAUUCCAUCUAAGGCUAAAUAUUGGCGAGAGACCGAUAGCGAACAAGUACCGUGAGGGAAAGAUGAAAAGCACUUUGGAAAGAGAGUUAAACAGCACGUGAAAUUGUUAAAAGGGAAACGAUUGAAGUCAGUCGUGUGGGAAGUAUUCAGCCGUCUCUGGCGGUGUAUUUGCUUCUCACGGGUCAACAUCAGUUUGAUCCGGUAGAAAAAGGCGGGAAGAAGGUGGCACCCUCGGGUGUGUUAUAGCUUCCUGUCAUAUGUGCCGGACCAGACUGAGGAACGCAGCUUGCAGCAAUGCCGGGGUUCGCCCACGUACAAGCUAGGAUGUGACA